UUCAACUUUUCCCCUCCUUCCCUUCCCCCCCUCCCCUAAAUGGCAGGUAGUCCCAUACAUGUUAAAUAUGUAUAACUGAUUCUUAAGAAAGAAUCUGGAAACUGCCUUACCUUUAUUUCCAAACCUUUAAAGUGAAAAGACAUCAAGUUUUUACUUUGUGCACUUUGGGUUUUUUAGCAUAAACAAUAUUUUAUCAUAUUUGGGCAAUUUGUAAAAUUGUAUAAACUCUUUGGUUCAUGGCUAGAAAUCCUGGGUAUUCAUUUUUAUAAACUCAUUACUCAAAUGGAUCGGUGAUUGUGUCAUUUGGGGCAUGUUCUUGACUGAUGCAGAUGGAGGACCAUCCAGGGUGAUUCUUGUCCAUUUCUUCCCCAGAUGUGCCACGUGAGAGCUGCCUAAUGUUGGAGGCCUGCCUCCCUUCCCUUUGGCAUCGAUUGGUCUUUCCCUCAUCCAUGUUCUGUGAAACCACCCAGAGAAGAGCAUUGCCGUCCCACUUCCCAGGCGGCCUACCCUGUCCCAUCUUGGCUUUCCAUACCCUCUGAGGAAGGAAGGUGUGGGAUGCCGACAGCAGCACUCCAUCUCCUCUUCUCGGCUUUGGGUUUUUAUUGCCACUGUUCUCUCUGAGUCACUGUUUUUCACUCAGGCUACAGCACUUGACUGUCGGUUUCCCCGACUGUCCUGUGAGCACAGGCAUCAUUUCUUGCUCAUAAAGAACUUUGUUAUUUGAGGCCUUCCAGUUCAUCUUCCACCAAUCCGUCAGUCUGGUGUUUCCCCAAUUUUAUAUCCAGACUUCAAAAUGAACCCUGUCGGGCCCCUGGAGACUCUCUAGACUGACUCUGAGCCAUCUGUGAUUUCAGCCAUGUGGGUCUUGCCCCACCGACCCUAAUUGCAGGAGUACUGGUUUUGGUGUCAAAGGACUCUGUCUCCAUUCCUGGCUCUUCCAUUUACUAGCUGUAUGACUCUGGGCAGAAUCCUUCCCAUGUGUAGGCAGAGCUGGACCUCGAAAAUCCUUCCCAGUUCUGUGAACCCAAGGCCAAGGAACUUGGGAAUUCUUCUGUACCUCAGUAGAAGGUCUCCGAGAGUGCUGUGGUCACAGAAGUCAUUGACUUGCCCACAGACCAGCAUGGAGUCUCUCCACAUUCAACUAGCUUGGUCCUUAGAUGACAUAGUUUGUUUCCGACCUUGGACUGGGAAGUCUGAUACAGACCCUGAUAGAGCUUGGAUUCUGUCAGUGUAGCCUUUUCCAUUUUGCCCAAACGAGGCACAGGAAGAAGGCCUUCUCUUCUCCCGCUUGACUGUUGCAUGUAACUUAGAAGCCAAACACCAAAUUUAGAAGCAGAGGAAUUUUCAUGAAGAUUAUAUGACUGGAUGAUUGCUGAGUGUGACUUGGGGCUUCCAAGUUGUACCUAUUUUUGCACACUCAGCCUGCAGAUUUCACAGACUGGAGGAGCUCGGUUGCCGCCUCCCUUGUCCUGGACCCCUAAAGGACAGAGUAGAUCUGUUUUAGAACAGACAGAGUGGGCAGUUUUCCUAUGCCAAUGAAGAGGCCAGUCAGUGGUUAGAGGAUCAGAUCUCUGUCUGGAGACAGCAAAAUCAGUCCAUCUUGCUCUCUGGAGAUACAGGAUUGGUCAGCAUUCAGGUAAGACCUAUUAUGAAUUAGGCACCUUCACGUCCACACUUUGACCACUCAGCUUUAGAGAUGUCAGGGAUUAUCCUUGUCAGAAGGCCUGCUUGCAGGGUCAUGGGCUGGGACAUUGCUCCGAUCUCAGACAAUGAACUUUUCUUGGGGAAAAAAAUUUAGGCACCUGUUGCUUUCUAGGCGUAAGGAAAGCCCAGUAUGGGAAUUUCCUCUACCCAGGCAGGCUGAUGAGUUUUCUGUGCCUUAUUUUUAGAAGUAGCUUAAUUGGAAUAAAUGUAAAGCCUGGACUAGAUGUGGGAUAUCUUAGGAAGAGUGAACACCCGAUGAGGAAACACCUAUCAAUGCAUAUCAGUCCGUGCUCUUGCAACUUAGAGAAAUACCUGUAAAGUCUAGUGGGUUUCAAAAAGGCAACUUCAAAAAUGGAAGCUAGCGGAGUUUGUCUGAAAAACAUAUGUAACUCUUAGUGGAUCACACACCGUGAGGGUGGUAUGAUAUGGCAUCCAGAAAAAUUAAUGGUAUUACCCUGAUUCCUUUCCAAUACAUCCACAACAAUCUAUUCUAGUUACAUUCAUUUAGUUCCUGGGUAUGUCUCCAUAGUCUCUAUGUUUUAUAUAUUCUGCAGUUUCUUUAAAUGGAAUUUCUCCUCUCUCUACCUACUAGAUUUU
Long non-coding RNA from Sarcophilus harrisii (Tasmanian devil), 2301 nucleotides. RefSeq lists it as uncharacterized. NCBI's taxonomy places the organism in Eukaryota, Metazoa, Chordata, Mammalia, Dasyuromorphia, Dasyuridae. The transcript has 3 exons. The record is from RefSeq and is a predicted model, not a curated record.